RNAcentral lists this ribosomal RNA (432 nucleotides) under uncultured bacterium. RNAcentral describes it as "partial 16S ribosomal RNA". It matches the Rfam family "Bacterial small subunit ribosomal RNA", at positions 29 to 507 of the family's 1533-position model. The record is from RNAcentral.
GCGAACGCUGGCGGCAGGCCUAACACAUGCAAGUCGAACGAACUCUUCGGAGUUAGUGGCGGACGGGUGAGUAACACGUGGGAACGUGCCUUUAGGUUCGGAAUAACUCAGGGAAACUUGUGCUAAUACCGAAUGUGCCCUUCGGGGGAAAGAUUUAUCGCCUUUAGAGCGGCCCGCGUCUGAUUAGCUAGUUGGUGAGGUAAAGGCUCACCAAUGCGACGAUCAGUAGCUGGUCUGAGAGGAUGAUCAGCCACAUUGGGACUGAGACACGGCCCAAACUCCUACGGGAGGCAGCAGUGGGGAAUCUUGCGCAAUGGGCGAAAGCCUGACGCAGCCAUGCCGCGUGAAUGAUGAAGGUCUUAGGAUUGUAAAAUUCUUUCACCGGGGACGAUAAUGACGGUACCCGGAGAAGAAGCCCCGGCUAACUUCGUG